AGCAAGGUGGCUGAAGUAGAAGGUGAUAGAUUGUAAAUCUAUUAAUGGAGUUUUGACUCUCCUUGCUA
Molecule: transfer RNA, 68 nt
Filed under: Ctenolepisma longicaudatum (long-tailed silverfish)
Lineage: Eukaryota; Metazoa; Arthropoda; Insecta; Zygentoma; Lepismatidae
Description: tRNA-Tyr
Rfam family: tRNA
About the family: Transfer RNA (tRNA) molecules are approximately 80 nucleotides in length. Their secondary structure includes four short double-helical elements and three loops (D, anti-codon, and T loops).
Source: RNAcentral